This 460-nucleotide ribosomal RNA is filed under the name uncultured bacterium. Its description in RNAcentral is "partial 16S ribosomal RNA". It matches the Rfam family "Bacterial small subunit ribosomal RNA", at positions 338 to 795 of the family's 1533-position model. The record is from RNAcentral.
CCUACGGGAGGCAGCAGUGAGGAAUAUUGGUCAAUGGACGAGAGUCUGAACCAGCCAAGUCGCGUGAAGGAUGACUGCCCUAUGGGUUGUAAACUUCUUUUAUCUGGGAAUAAAACGUUCCACGUGUGGGUUUUUGUAUGUACCAUAUGAAUAAGGAUCGGCUAACUCCGUGCCAGCAGCCGCGGUAAUACGGAGGAUCCGAGCGUUAUCCGGAUUUAUUGGGUUUAAAGGGUGCGUAGGUGGAUUGUUAAGUCAGUUGUGAAAGGUUGCGGCUCAAACGUAAAAUUGCAGUUGAAACUGGCAGUCUUGAGUAGAGUAGAGGUGGGCGGAAUUCGGGGUGUAGCGGUGAAAUGCUUAGAUAUCACGCAGAACCCCGAUUGCGAAGGCAGCAUACCGGUGCACAACUGACGCUCAGGCACGAAAGCGUGGGUAUCGAACAGGAUUAGAUACCCUUGUAGUC